GAUGAACGCUGGCGGCGUGCCUAAUACAUGCAAGUCGAGCGAACAGAUAAGGAGCUUGCUCCUUUGACGUUAGCGGCGGACGGGUGAGUAACACGUGGGUAACCUACCUAUAAGACUGGAAUAACUCCGGGAAACCGGGGCUAAUGCCGGAUAAUAUUUAGAACCGCAUGGUUCUAAAGUGAAAGAUGGUUUUGCUAUCACUUAUAGAUGGACCCGCGCCGUAUUAGCUAGUUGGUGGGGUAAUGGCUUACCAAGGCAACGAUACGUAGCCGACCUGAGAGGGUGAUCGGCCACACUGGAACUGAGACACGGUCCAGACUCCUACGGGAGGCAGCAGUAGGGAAUCUUCCGCAAUGGGCGAAAGCCUGACGGAGCAACGCCGCGUGAGUGAUGAAGGUCUUCGGAUCGUAAAACUCUGUUAUUAGGGAAGAACAAAUGUGUAAGUAACUGUGCACGUCUUGACGGUACCUAAUCAGAAAGCCACGGCUAACUACGUGCCAGCAGCCG
Molecule: ribosomal RNA, 507 nt
Filed under: uncultured bacterium
Lineage: Bacteria
Description: bacterial SSU rRNA
Rfam family: Bacterial small subunit ribosomal RNA
Source: RNAcentral